This 73-nucleotide transfer RNA is filed under the name Ictidomys tridecemlineatus (thirteen-lined ground squirrel). Its description in RNAcentral is "Spermophilus tridecemlineatus (thirteen-lined ground squirrel) tRNA". It matches the Rfam family "tRNA". Rfam says of the family: Transfer RNA (tRNA) molecules are approximately 80 nucleotides in length. Their secondary structure includes four short double-helical elements and three loops (D, anti-codon, and T loops). The record is from Rfam by way of RNAcentral. Lineage: Eukaryota; Metazoa; Chordata; Mammalia; Rodentia; Sciuridae.
GGGGAUAUAACUCAGUUGAUAGAGCACUUGCCUCACAUGCACAAGGUUCUGGGUUUAAUCCCCAGCACCACCA